Molecule: ribosomal RNA, 449 nt
Filed under: uncultured bacterium
Lineage: Bacteria
Description: partial 16S ribosomal RNA
Rfam family: Bacterial small subunit ribosomal RNA
Source: RNAcentral
GCCAGACUCCUACGGGAGGCAGCAGUGGGGAAUAUUGCACAAUGGGGGGAACCCUGAUGCAGCGACGCCGCGUGGGUGAAGGAGUAUUUCGGUAUGUAAAGCCCUAUCAGCAGGGAAGAACAAUGACGGUACCUGACUAAGAAGCACCGGCUAAAUACGUGCCAGCAGCCGCGGUAAUACGUAUGGUGCAAGCGUUAUCCGGAUUUACUGGGUGUAAAGGGGGCGCAGACGGCGAUGCAAGCCAGGAGUGAAAGCCCGGGGCCCAACCCCGGGACUGCUCUUGGAACUGCGCGGCUGGAGUGCAGGAGGGGCAGGCGGAAUUCCUGGUGUAGCGGUGAAAUGCGUAGAUAUCAGGAGGAACACCGGUGGCGAAGGCGGCCUGCUGGACUGCGACUGACGUUGAGGCCCGAAGGCGUGGGGAGCAAACAGGAUUAGAUACCCGAGUACAG